UGCCUACAUGCUCCUCUGGAUCCUCCUUGGUGUCCAUAGUCUUUGGAAGUGAUCAAGAUUCCACGCCACCACCAUCAUUAUGUGUUGGAAAACAGCAGAUGGCCUGGAACUUGUGAAGAAAUCAUAUGCACUGCACUCAAGUACUGUUGUGGGGUGACCUGUUGCCUGACAAGGAUGGGGACAGCACCUGGAGUCAGACGUGUUCUUUGACCCUUGGAGAGAAAACGACAACACUAAUUCGAACUGUACUUUUAUAUUGUUACAGUAAUAGUAAAUUUAUCACAAAGGAAAAUAAAAACUUCUACUUGCUUAAUGGCCUACAAUAUAAAUACGUAUGUGUCUGUUGUGCUUUAACAUGUUUUUACCACCUCAGUGUUUACAAUAAUGUACUUGUGUGAUGAGUUAAGUCGGUGCAUGUGUGUUUUAAGGAGUUUCAUUUGGUAUAGCAUUAAUGUAUACAUACUUUGAAAUGCAGGUUUUCAGCCUGAAAUGAUCUUCACAGACCAUGUAGUCGCCUUGUUUUGCUUCUUCAGCAGUCAUAUUGGGUGGCAGGUCUUGGGUGUGUCAAAGCCACUUUUCACGUCUGUGUUGAUAGCAGUUCCAAUA
Molecule: long non-coding RNA, 606 nt
Organism: Engraulis encrasicolus (European anchovy)
Lineage: Eukaryota; Metazoa; Chordata; Actinopteri; Clupeiformes; Engraulidae
Exons: 3
Source: RefSeq, a predicted model, not a curated record